CAAGCCCUGAAAUCUUGUCAAGAUCUUAUCUUGGGGUAAUGACUUGCUGCCAAAAAAAAAAAAAAAAAAAAAAAGAAGAAGAAGAAAAAGAAAGCAAGGAAGGAAGAAAACAAAGGGUUGAAAUAUUGAUUUUUCUUUGGAGGAAUAACCAGGGCUUUGCUGGAGAGAACACCCAGUUUCUCCCCGAGGCAAGCUGAGUUGUCCGUGACAGCAGCCAGGGCUGGCUUGAAGCAGCCGCUCUGCCUGGGGAGCUCCCUAAAUGGACUUUGGUCUCAAUGCUGUGACUCUUUGUCGGGGGUUUGGAUGUGGGAACACCACGGAAGGUGAUCUCCUGUCUCGUCUCAACUCCCCUGAUCUCAAGGAAAGAUGAGCGAAGAGGCAAAGGAGAAAACCGCCAAGCCUGCUCAUAGGAAGAGGAAAGGGAAAAAGGUAAGUGAACCAACCUGGCAUUGGGCAGUGAUCGCUCUCUUGCUGUCUGGCUCUGGCUCUCACUCGUGCGGCCAUGUUGUGGUCUAAGGCUCAUCAAGGCAGUUGAGUGAGCCUUGCUGUACACGUGUCAUGAUGCUGUCAGUGUGUGUGUAUUCAGGAAAGUGGUAAGUUUCCGUUUCCCAUUUUUCCCCAUUGGAGCUUUCAAACGGGUGGUUCUGUGGCUUUGGUUUAACGAGCGUCUCUCGACGGCAAGGUUGAAAGGAUGAGAAGUGAGGUUUGUUGCGCAGGACAGAUCGUAUCGAAAGCUGGAGUUUCUUUGUCAGGCUAGUGAUUUAGAGACGCAUCUGUGUUGUGGAGUGUUUUGUGUAGCACCUGAUCUGUUUGGAACAGAACAUUGCUGUCACCUUGCAGGGAUCGAACUGUCUCAGCUUAAAGAGAAAAGGUCAUGACUUGGCUGCAAGAGAGUUAGAGUGACAUUCAUGUCCAUGUUCAAAUAUUACCCCUCUAUUUAGAAGGAAAUCUGCAGGGAUGUGUUCAGUGGGAAUGGGGGGUCCCACUGAGGUCACUGCUGACACGCACAGCCGUUGUCAAAGACUUUAAAAAGUAAGAGGUCCAGUGGUAGAGCGCUUACCUAGGAAGCACAAGGCCCUGGGUUCGGUCCCCAGCUCCAAAAAAAAGAACC
This 1111-nucleotide long non-coding RNA is filed under the name Rattus norvegicus (Norway rat). RNAcentral describes it as "long non-coding RNA NONRATT017321". Lineage: Eukaryota; Metazoa; Chordata; Mammalia; Rodentia; Muridae. The record is from RNAcentral.